UAAGUUAAAAUCCAAAUUACAAAAUACAAACCAUUGCCUUCAAAGGGCUUAACAAAAAAACAACAAAUAACAUUAUCAUAAAACACUCCAAGCCAUAAAAAAUAAAUCUUCAUGUGCACAACUGCACAUCAUCUCAAUAAAAAAGCACUUCAAGAGCAUUGCACUUUGAUUCCUGAAAUUCAUAAUCUAGAAUUAUAACAUGAUAAAUUAAAUCAGAAAAUAUAAAAAUUAAAAAAAUAUAUAUUUAUACCAUACGUUUUCAAUACAUGCAUCACAAAUUCACAAUUUGUGAACUAAUUAUCAUCCGUUGCUAAAUGCAACUUUCCACCAAAUUCUACAAAAUAAAAUAUUAAACAUGUUAGAAUAAAAAUGUGUUAAUUAAUAAAUAAUAAAAUAAAAUGUGUAAGUUUUUAAGAAACGUUACCUGAUUCAAGGUUUUCGUAGGUUUCCAAAUCAUUCAUCAAGGUUGUAUUAUCAGUUGAAAUUGGACCAUGAUGCAACCAAUUUUGACAACAAAUAAGUGCUUGAACUGUUGCUGGAGAUAAAGAACUUCGAAAUUGGUCGAGUAUACGACCACCUGUGCUAAAGGCUGAUUCGGAAGCCACUGUGGAUAUAGGAAUAGCAAGAACAUGUUGUGCAACUUUCGAAAGUAUCUUAUAUUUUAAAGCAUUAAUUUUCCACCAACCCAAAAUAUCUAAUUUAUCAUCAUCAGGAUCCUCACAACCAUCACUCAAAUACCUCUCAACCUCAUUUCUAUUUUCCACACUAUCUUCCUCUUGUAAGUGCCUUUUGAACCGAGCUAAAGUGUUAACAUCUACCUCCAUGUCAUCAAUAGCAUCAUUAUCAUCUUGUUUAUGCCUAUUAUCAUCCACCACUUCAUUGGCUUUCAAAUAAAACUCAUACAAGCUCACCAAAUUAUCUUUCACCUUUUUUGUUAGCAAUUGUGCUUUGUCAUAAGUAUACAACUCACCAAAACAAAAUUUCACAUAUUUCAACUUAAGACGAGGAUCCAAAACAUUAGCCACAUACAAUAAAAAAUUCUGAUUUGCUCCACAACCCCAAUACUUCUCAAACUUACUCAUCAUGUUAAUCGCCAUUCCAUUCAAAAGAUUAUCUCUACUUUUACACAAUUGCAACAAGUUUGUAUGCAUGUAAAUCAAUUCAUUGAAGAAAGAAUUUGAUGUAACAUGCAAUGAGCCAGAAAAUUUCAAUGUAACCAUGUAAAAGAUCUUUAAAAACUUCAGCAAAGUUCUAGCAUUUUCCCAAUCCUCCAAACUAGGUGGCCCUAUGUUUUUUUUAUUCCCCUUUGAAUCAACCUCCAAAAAGUAACUCAUAUACCUAGAUUCACUUUGACUUAACCUCAUAAAGACCUUUUCAAACUUUUCCGCAGCUUCUAACAUAAGAUAAGUUGAAUUCCAUCGAGUUGCAACAUCCAAACACAAUGAUUUCUUACACUCUAUAUGCAACUUUUCUGCACACUUUUUAAAUGCAAGUAGCCUAGAGGGUGAAGAUCUCACAAACCUAAUUGCAUUUCGAAUCUUAACAACCGAAACAUUCAUCUCUUUCAAACCAUCACAUACAAUGAGGUUGACAAUGUGUGCACAACAUCUAACAUGCAAAUGUUCAUUUGACAAUAUAUUAGUUGGCCAAUCUUUCAUCACAUUCUUCAAAUAUGAAAUAGUAACACUAUUAGAGCUUGCAUUGUCUACUGUAACAGUUAAAAGUUUAUCAAUCCCCCAAUCUAACAAACAAUUCUCAAUAACUUGACCAAUUGUCUCACCCAUAUGAUUGGAAACUUGACAAAAAUUCAGAAUUCUUUUAUGCAAAUUCCAUUCAUUAUCAAUCCAAUGAGCCGUUAAGGACAUAUAGUUAAUGUUUUGGAUUGAUGUCCAUGUAUCUGUUGUUAAGCAUAAUCGUUGACCCUUAAGAGCUCUCUUUAAUCUUUCCUUCUCUUCAACAUAAAGUUUCAAACAAUCUCUCAUAACAGUGAAACGAGAAGGAAUGUCAAAUCUAGGCUGCAUGGUCCUAGAAUAUAAUUUAAACCCCUUACCCUCCACAAAAUUAAAAGGCAACUCAUCAAUUAUAACCAAUUUCACUAGUGCCUUUCUGCAUUCAUCAUAAUCAUAACCUAUUGCCUUAAGAGUUCCCACACUUCGAUCUCCUAAUUCACCCCCUACUUUAUUAGGUUCUAAUAGCAAAAUUUUUUGCUUCUUAUCAACCACAAAAGGAAACUUUUUGCAUACUUUCAAAUGACUCCACAUAUUACUUGUCCCAUUAAUAAUAGUAUGACAUGCAUAAUCCUUUCCACAAUAAUUACAUUCAGCUCUAGGGGUUUUAGGAUCACCAUCAAGUUUUGUAAAAUGAUCCCAAAUUUGUGACUUUUUUUUAUCAUCAACAUUUCUUUUCUAGAUGCAAGGACUUGAAGUUGUUUACCUUUAGUAUCCGUGGUGGAUCCUACAGUAGUUGAUGUUGGGUUAGUGUUUGAAGAUGGGCAUUGGUUGAUGUUGGGGUAGUGCCACUGGAUGAAGCAUUUUGAUUUUGAAGGUUUUCCAUCUGUAAUUACCAAAUGCAAACUACUUGGUUAGUUUACAGAAUCAAAUGCAAACAGAAUAAUGAAUACUUCCAUUCAAAGAGCAGUUUACCCAAAUCAAAUUCAAAUCAAAUAAUCUCAUGAUAAACAAGACAGCAAAAUGCCAUAUUGGAAUGAUGUUCCAUGGCUGCAAAAUUCAGUAGACAUGAAACCAAGACAGAACAGAAUUGUCCAAGAACCAAAAUCACAAACACCAAGGCAUUAAAGUAGAGAAUUCAAUAGUCAUAUUAUUGCAAAUCCCACAGUUUUAGUUCUGCUACUAGUAACUAGUUGAUUUAGGUUUAGCUUUACAGUUAAGCAACAAGUAGCCCAAAUUUUCUCCUUCUCUUGCUAUAAUUAGUUCCUAAUCUCAAUCCAUCUUGCAACAGUGCACUUUGUAUAGAUACUAGUAUGCUCAUAGUUUGCUAUUUUCAAGGAUCUACCACCAUGCUUUUUUAUCAGCCUAGAAGAUGCUACCAGAAGAACACCAACCGCCCAUUACAUCCUCGUUGGAGCACUGCAACAAGGAUUGACAUGUAAGAGAGUGAGUCGGCUCGCCCAUCCCAUUUUAAAACAACAUCAAUGGUGAUGUAUUAGCUAACUAGAAAGGCAGCUUAGUUC
RNAcentral lists this long non-coding RNA (3190 nucleotides) under Populus tremula. RNAcentral's name for it is "long non-coding RNA (PTRE_LNC001395)". The record is from RNAcentral. Lineage: Eukaryota; Viridiplantae; Streptophyta; Magnoliopsida; Malpighiales; Salicaceae.